This 301-nucleotide ribosomal RNA is filed under the name uncultured bacterium. RNAcentral's name for it is "partial 16S ribosomal RNA". It matches the Rfam family "Bacterial small subunit ribosomal RNA", at positions 509 to 808 of the family's 1533-position model. The record is from RNAcentral.
CAGUAGCCACGGUAAUACGGAGGGUGCAAGCGUUAAUCGGAAUUACUGGGCGUAAAGCGUGCGUAGGCGGUUCGUUAAGUCUGUUGUGAAAGCCCCGGGCUCAACCUGGGAAUGGCAAUGGAUACUGGCGAGCUAGAGUGUGUCAGAGGAUGGUGGAAUUCCCGGUGUAGCGGUGAAAUGCGUAGAGAUCGGGAGGAACAUCAGUGGCGAAGGCGGCCAUCUGGGACAACACUGACGCUGAGGCACGAAAGCGUGGGGAGCAAACAGGAUUAGAUACCGCGUAGUCCCUGUCUCUUAUACA